CAGCAGCCGCGGUAAUACGAAGGGGGCUAGCGUUGUUCGGAUUUACUGGGCGUAAAGCGCACGUAGGCGGACUCUUAAGUCAGGGGUGAAAUCCCGGGGCUCAACCCCGGAACUACCUUUGAUACUGGAAGUCUUGAGUAUGGUAGAGGUGAGUGGAAUUCCGAGUGUAGAGGUGAAAUUCGUAGAUAUUCGGAGGAACACCAGUGGCGAAGGCGGCUCACUGGACCAUUACUGACGCUGAGGUGCGAAAGCGUGGGGAGCAAACAGGAUUAGAUACCCCAGUAGUCCCUGUCUCUUAUAC
Molecule: ribosomal RNA, 301 nt
Filed under: uncultured bacterium
Lineage: Bacteria
Description: partial 16S ribosomal RNA
Rfam family: Bacterial small subunit ribosomal RNA
Source: RNAcentral